GUGGGGAAUAUUGGACAAUGGGCGAAAGCCUGAUCCAGCAAUGCCGCGUGAGUGAUGAAGGCCUUAGGGUUGUAAAGCUCUUUUACCAGGGAUGAUAAUGACAGUACCUGGAGAAUAAGCUCCGGCUAACUCCGUGCCAGCAGCCGCGGUAAUACGGAGGGAGCUAGCGUUGUUCGGAAUUACUGGGCGUAAAGCGCACGUAGGCGGUUACUCAAGUCAGAGGUGAAAGCCCGGGGCUCAAACCCGGAACUGCCUUUGAAACUAGGUAACUAGAAUCUUGGAGAGGUCAGUGGAAUUCCGAGUGUAGAGGUGAAAUUCGUAGAUAUUCGGAAGAACACCAGUGGCGAAGGCGACUGACUGGACAAGUAUUGACGCUGAGGUGCGAAAGCGUGGGGAGCAAACAGGAUUAGAUACCCUAGUAGUCC
Molecule: ribosomal RNA, 425 nt
Filed under: uncultured bacterium
Lineage: Bacteria
Description: partial 16S ribosomal RNA
Rfam family: Bacterial small subunit ribosomal RNA
Source: RNAcentral